This 468-nucleotide ribosomal RNA is filed under the name uncultured bacterium. RNAcentral's name for it is "partial 16S ribosomal RNA". It matches the Rfam family "Bacterial small subunit ribosomal RNA", at positions 28 to 507 of the family's 1533-position model. The record is from RNAcentral.
GACGAACGCUGGCGGUGUGCUUAACACAUGCAAGUCGAACGGAAAGGCCCUGCUUUGGUGGGGUGCUCGAGUGGCGAACGGGUGAUUAACACGUGAGUUACCUGCCCUUGACUUUGGGAUAACUUCAGGAAACUUGUGCUAAUAGCGGAUAGGGGCUCCUCCUGAAUGGUGGGUGUUGGAAAGUUUCGUCGGUUGGGGAUGGAAUCGCGGCUUAUCAAGUUGUUGGUGGGGUAGUGGCUUACCAAGGCUUUGACGGUUAGCCGGCCUGAGAGGGGGACCGGCCACAUUGGGACUGAGAUACGGCCCAGACUCCUACGGGAGGCAGCAGUGGGGAAUAUUGCACAAUGGGCGGAAGACUGAUGCAGCAAAGCCGCGUGCGGGAUGACGGCCUUCGGGUUGUAAACCGCUUUCGCCUGUGACGAAGAGUGAGUGACGGUAAUGGGUAAAGAAGCACCGGCUAACUACGUG